CAGCAGCUUUGUGUCUCUCUCUCUCCGUGUCCGUGUCGCCCAACCCCCGCCGCUACUCGACAAAGAUCCUCCCGUUGGUGGUGGUGGUGGUGGUGGUGGCUAAACGGCUUAUUUUUUUUCUUGUGUGGUGUGGUGUAGCGUCACCAUGAUGUUGUGGUCCGCCUUCGGGGGGGUCGGGAAGGGGUUAAGUAAGGUAAGCAAGGGGUAAGGGGAGGGGGUUAGGGGGAGGGCGGCGGCGCGGCGCGGCGCGGGGCUGGAGGAGACAGAGCCGCGCCCGUAGCCCUAGGCCCCCUAGACCACGCCCAGACUCCCUACCUCCGGUCGCGGCCCGACCAACGCCCGAGCGUGUUGGCGUUGCUCGAGCAGCAGUAGGCGGCGCUGCCCCUCGGUCCCCGCUCCGGCGAGUUCGUCGUCUUGGCGCCCCGCACGGUCUAAACGCCCCUGCUGGAGCCCGAGCCGGGGCCGCCGCUGGGGAAGCAGCGGACGUUGCUCACGCGGAAGGGGCAGACGGCGCUGACGAUGCUCAUGCUCGCGGCGCUCCCGUGCGUCUUGACGGGCGUCACGUUCUGGGCGAUGUUCGCGGAGUUCCCCACGCGCGCGCACGGGCCCCUACUCCUCCUCCUGCCGCGGCUGCUGGACCUCCUGCUCAAGUUGACCUCCCUGUCCCUGCUGAGCGUCAUGCGGCGGCUCAGGUACGAGGUGCGGGUGUACUGGAUGCCGGCGCCGCCGCUGGAGCUGCCGCACGUGGUCGGGAAGGUCGGGUUGGGGUUACAAGGUGAGGAGUGGUUACCGGUCUACCAGCUGCUGUAGGGCGGCCUCGUCGUGCGGGAACAAGGAAGGAAGCAGCCGCCGCCCCCUUUCUCCUAGGUGGGCGAGGGAAUACGACUAAGGUUGGAAGGACACGUUGGCUCUAGGUACCUGGGUAGGUUCCUAUAACCAAGGAUGCCCAUGCCAUCGCAGCGGACCUUCCUCUCCUACCUCUCGACCUUCGUCUUCGUCCUCUCCGACGUAGUCCGGUCUUUACUACCGCCAUUUCUGACCUUGCCCCUACCGCUGCUACGUCUAGACGGUGAGUACCUACUUCGAUCCGUCGGUGACAGGUCUUUCCAAGGGUAAGGAAGUUCGGACUAAUUAGGGAUGUCCUACUAGUAACACUAGGCAAACCACUAACACACAGAGAAGAAGGUGAUAGCACAAUACGUAGGCCACGUACUACGUAAACAAAACACCGAGUAUAGACAGUAUACACUCUAUACCAAACGGUACAGAACCUAAGAACUAGUCAAGGGGUUCACCAAGGGAUAACUCUCCCUCUGAAUGGAACUGGCCAACUGUAACUCCAAGCUGUUCCUUCCGGUCGGUAGAGUUGAGCGGGGUCAACUAAAGAAACAGUCAUGCCAGCUAGGGCGUUUCCUCGGAGGCGACCAGUGUCGUUUGUGAUAGGAUAGAUAGGACCGCCAUCUAAUAGGCCAACUGUUCGAAAGAACGAUACAAAGACUACUACCACGACGGUACGACUGUAAGCUUCCUAACAGACUUUGUAGACUUAAACGUUUCUUUACCCAAGGAAAGACAUUCUUCAUAUCGUAACUCGGAGCACGAGGUCUCACCAUGAAGGUUGUCUUCUAUCUGAUGGACUUUCUGUUCCACCAUGGUUUGAAACAAUCCCUGUCCUCUCGUUACUUCUCUCUCAUACUCCUUAAGUUCUAGUCUUAGUUACGGAACCAACGAUUUCGGGUCUUUCAAGGACUCCUUCCUACCUGGUACGUCCUACCUUGAGGGACCGGACCCUUGUUACAGGCACUAGUGGGACCUUACUAAGUCCAGAAGGAACCAGUUUCACCACCGGAACUACACCUUCCUUUACUCGACGGAGCUAACCAAAUACAGAGUUCUCUUUUUGCCGGUCCGAUAUUGGUAGUGUUCUUCCGACCACGAUACUUACGUAACCAGGCACAGAGACGACACGAUUGCUUACGAGGUAUAUACGAAUUGAACCUAACACUAGUGAUACACUUGUUGUCGUUCCGUCAGUUCCUUCGGUACACAAAGUACUACCUAGGAGACCAUCCUUUCUUUCAAACGAUACACGUCAAGGGUGUUUCUAAGCUGAGGUAACUAGCAGUACUAGCUAUACGAUUGUUCUUACAGCAGAAGAAACUAUAGUUGUACUUUCCAAACCUACCAUAAGUUCCGGGGUAGAUACAACCAUGACCUACACAGAAAUCUUCCGUCCGCGACAUGCCAAUACUACGAGGGUUUUGUUUCUUCGGUGGCAGUUCCUGAACGUUGACGACCGGUUUCACCACACACACGACAAAGACGAAACCAUUGUCCUUCUUGUUCUUCUUCCAAUGGUUCGGUUUCUGUCUCUUCUUCUUCUCCAACAAAAAGUUCUUCCUUCUUUUAGUUAGUGGACGCAUGCGUGAGUCACUUUAACUGCUUCGUCGACGUCCUCGACUUUGAGUCUUCCGACCAUAACAUUUGGUUGUCUUCAAUCUCUUCUUUAAACCGGUCAGACGGUAAAAACAACGUAGGUGCGAAGAACUCUUACCACCUUGGGACUCCACACUAUCAGGUCGAAGAGAAGACUUCCUUCGAUAUGUACAGUAGCCAACACCGAUACUUCUGUUCUGUCUGACCCCUUUUCUCUAACCGACCUAGAUACCCAGUCAAUGUCUCCUAUAGGAUUGACCCAAAUUCUACGUAACGGUACCGACCGCCAGCUAAAUGACGUAUGGAUUUUCCGGACGUAAGUUUCCAAGACGCGGAGAGUUAGAAAGCCUAGCAGAAUUGGUCCAAGAAGCCACCCGAGAACCCAGAUAACUCUAGAAGAAGUCGUUGGUAACGGGAGAAACCAUACCCAUACCACCACCUGACUUUAAAAACCUUUCUAAAAGGAUGUAGUUGAGGUAGCAGAUAGGAACCUGUAGGUAAGGUGAAGACCGGAUGACAUGCAACGGCCGGUAGACGAACAAUUGCCCUUUCAAGUAGUGGGGUCUCGAAUCGUUAGAACGGUCAUAGACCAUGUACAGUGAAAAGUAGACGUAAAAACGAUGCCCAUAAGACCUUUACUCUACCCGAGCACAGCGCCAACUGCUAACCACCUCCUUACUCGUCAAGACCCAGUAACCUCUACUACUCCUCAAGAGCCUUGACAUGUGGAAGUUUACCUGUUGGAACGACUAUGGGGGCUGGUGGAACGAGGACGACUUGAAGUAGCCCCACCAACGGCCGUAGAGGUUGCGCUAGUUGUUGCCUAUACUCAGUACCCCCGGAGAGAAGCCCUUCGAGAAGAAGCGUAAGACCCAAUAACAGGUAGAAAUGGGCAAGGAGUUCCCAGAAGAACCUUCCGUCUUGUCCUGGGGCUGCUAGCAGUAGCAGACCAGGUAGGACAACCGAAGCUAGUAGAGCGAGGACACCCACGCACACUUGGGAAAGGAGCGGUUCUGGCUGCCGGGAGAAGACCUCCUCACGCCAGACCUGACGUGGAUCCUCUACUUUCCUACCUAGUUGUAGUCAGUAGUACACCUCAUUAAAACUUCCACAAAAACACGGGUAUUAAAAAAAGAGAAGGUAAGGAGGUAGGGGACACAUCUAUCUUUUGUUUGUACGUUGUUCACAAUUCAAUAACCAAAACAAGGUACCACCCAUCGACCCGGAGUAUAUACGUUUUAUAAACCCGUCUGCCCUCCGACGCCGUUGGGAAGAAGUGGAGACACGUCAAGCCGGUGCUUCUUCUUUCUUAUGUCCGUCGUUCAGUCAGUCAGUCAGUCAGUCAAGGUCACAACAAAGUAACAGGUCGGUCGGUCGCUAAGAAAUAAACAACUGGAACUAAACUUACCUCUCCUAUUUUACAUACAUUCACUCGGCUUUGACUCUCGACAGCAGACAUUACGAUACGGGCUUCCUACAUAAUAAUACAUACAUGUUUGACUUUUGUUGAACAUAAAAGAGAGACAUUCCGUUCUUACGGCAAACAUUAUCUCCUUCGACGUGUAAUAAAUAGAUCGAACAAACCUUUCGAAG
RNAcentral lists this ribosomal RNA (4029 nucleotides) under Triticum aestivum (bread wheat). RNAcentral describes it as "partial small subunit ribosomal RNA". Lineage: Eukaryota; Viridiplantae; Streptophyta; Magnoliopsida; Poales; Poaceae. The record is from RNAcentral.